RNAcentral lists this ribosomal RNA (253 nucleotides) under uncultured bacterium. RNAcentral's name for it is "partial 16S ribosomal RNA". It matches the Rfam family "Bacterial small subunit ribosomal RNA", at positions 524 to 776 of the family's 1533-position model. The record is from RNAcentral.
UACGUAGGGGGCAAGCGUUGUCCGGAUUUAUUGGGCGUAAAGAGCGUGUAGGCGGUUCGGUAGGUCCGUUGUGAAAACUCGAGGCUCAACCUCGAGACGCCGAUGGAAACCCUCGAACUAGAGUCCGGAAGAGGAGAAUGGAAUUCCUGGUGUAGCGGUGAAAUGCGCAGAUAUCAGGAAGAACACCCGUGGCUAAGGCGGCUCUCUAGUACGGUACUGACGCUGAGACGCGAAAGCGUGGGGAGCAAACGGG